This 479-nucleotide ribosomal RNA is filed under the name Cyclophorus abditus. RNAcentral describes it as "bacterial SSU rRNA". It matches the Rfam family "Eukaryotic small subunit ribosomal RNA", at positions 1343 to 1831 of the family's 1831-position model. Lineage: Eukaryota; Metazoa; Mollusca; Gastropoda; Architaenioglossa; Cyclophoridae. The record is from RNAcentral.
CUAGCCUACUAAAUAGUUCGGCGAUCCGGCUUGGGUCGCUGCUAACUUCUUAGAGGGACAGGUGGCGUUUAGCCACAGGAGAUUGACCAAUACCAGGUCUCUGAUGCCCUUAGAUGUCCGGGGCCGCACAGCGCGCUACACUGAAGGAAUAAGCGUGGAUGGUUUCCUUGCCCGAAAAGGUUGGGAAACCCGUUGAUUCUCUUUCGUGAUAGGGAUUGGGGCUUGAAAUUCUUCCCCAUGAACGAGGAUUUCCCAGUAAGCGCGAGUCAUAAGCUCGGCUUGAUUACGUUCCUGCCCCUUGUACACACCGGCCGUGGUUACUACGGAUUGAACGGUUUAGUGAGGGCCUCUGGAAUUGGUCUGGGCCGGCCCUUCACCGGGCGCCCCCCCGGGUCGAGAAGACGCUCGAACUUGAUCGUUUAGAGGAAGUAAAAGUCGUACCAAGGUUUCGGUAGGUGACCUUGCGGAAGGAUCAUUAA